AAUAUCGGUCCGAUGUCUCUGAGUUAUCCCUUAACGACCUUCCCAUUGACACCAACUUGACCGUUAU
This 67-nucleotide small RNA is filed under the name Caenorhabditis remanei. RNAcentral's name for it is "Nematode sRNA ceN72-3_ceN74-2". It matches the Rfam family "Nematode sRNA ceN72-3_ceN74-2". The record is from Rfam by way of RNAcentral. Lineage: Eukaryota; Metazoa; Nematoda; Chromadorea; Rhabditida; Rhabditidae.